AUCAAAUCUGAGCUGGACAUCUACGUCAAUUGUGUUUAAAUGACAUCGUUCCAGUCUCCACUCUCGAGGUGCAGUUCCAGGGAAGGAAGCUCUUGAGAGGAGAGUGCAGCAUCCCAACACAAGACACUGAGGAAAAGAUGAAGAUGAUCGGGAGACUGCACUGUUGACAAUCAUCCUUCUGCCUUAAGCACCUACAUACCUGUAUGCUCCAGAUUCAGAUUGCUUCAGUCUUUCUCUCUCUCUUUCUCUAUCAACCCCAACCGGUCAAGGCAGAUGGCCGCCCACCUAGAGCCUGGUUCUGCCUGAGGUUUCUUCCCGUUACGGAGUCGCCAAGUGCUUGCUCAUGGGGGGAAUGUUGGGUCUCUUUAAAUUAAAGAGUACAGUCAUAACUUAUGUCCAUCCAUCCAUCUUCUUCCGCUUAUCCGGGGUCGGGUCGCGGGGGCAGCAGCCUAAGCAGGGAAGCCCAGACUUCCCUCUCCCCAGCCACUUCGUCCAGCUCUUCCCGGGGGAUCCCGAGGUGUUCCCACGCCAGCCGAGAGACAUAGUCUCUCCAGCGUGUCCUGGGUCUUCCCCGGGGUCUCCUACCGGUGGGACAUGCCCUGAACGCCUCACCAGGGAGGCGUCCGGGAGGCAUCCUGAUUAGAUGCCCGAACCACCUCAUCUGGAACUUCUUAUGUGAUUACAUAAAAUUGUC
This is a long non-coding RNA of Scomber japonicus (chub mackerel), 694 nucleotides long. RefSeq lists it as uncharacterized. Lineage: Eukaryota; Metazoa; Chordata; Actinopteri; Scombriformes; Scombridae. The transcript has 3 exons. The record is from RefSeq and is a predicted model, not a curated record.